ACAUUUGGGAGUAGAUAUAACUUUCUAUAUGAAAUGUCAAAUACUCUACAUCUCAUCGGACCUAGACAAGAGUAGACAAGAAUAUUAUUAUAAUUUUAAGUUCUCAAAUAGCAUUUACAAAGUAUUUCGGGGUCCUACCGUCGUCAUGUGGUCAGUAUUUAUGCUGAGAAGAAUCAGUGUAAAGCUCAAAGAACGAGCUAUACGAGUGUUAAGCCUCUCGACAUCGAAAACGUAAAUGUGCAGAGAUGGUGCAGUAUUUGUGCCAGGAAUCUGUCUCCUAUAUCUCAGGGUCUGCCUGUUCUUGUCAAUGUUCUUUGCUCGCUCCUGCUUAGGUCAUUAACAACAUUACUAACCACUGUUAGCAAAUUUUUUAAACAAUUUGUUUUUGCAGUGAAUACAAGGGUGCCUAUGCUACAAGCUACAACUCUUCCCGAGGAAAGGC
Molecule: long non-coding RNA, 442 nt
Filed under: Helicoverpa zea (corn earworm)
Lineage: Eukaryota; Metazoa; Arthropoda; Insecta; Lepidoptera; Noctuidae
Description: uncharacterized LOC124638113
Source: RNAcentral